Dalotia coriaria is the source of this 1132-nucleotide long non-coding RNA. RefSeq lists it as uncharacterized. The record is from RefSeq and is a predicted model, not a curated record. Lineage: Eukaryota; Metazoa; Arthropoda; Insecta; Coleoptera; Staphylinidae. The transcript has 4 exons.
GCGAACUUGAAAACGUGGUGAAGAUGGUUAUUUGCGGUGUAAUUAUUGUUACAUGCCUUCGAAUUUUAAGUCGAUAAAUUUCAAUUAAAUAAGAAAUUAAAAAUGGGAUUAACAACGUAUUAUAGAAUUGCCAAACUUUGCGCCGCAGUCUUUAUAGUUAUUACUUUUGCCAAGCUCGUCAAAGCUGAAGAUUCUGAUACAUUCUUAAAGAUGAUUUUGGUAAAUUUACAACCUUUUAUUCAAUUGUUGGCCAGAUAAUCAAGGAAGAGGAAAUUAAAUAUUUCUUUUUUUUAACAAAGUCUUAUCGUGUUUAUUUUUAUAUAACAAAUUUAUGUAACAAAAUAACUAUUUAUAAUCUAUAUAAAAUAUUACAAAAAAUAUUCUUAGAGAUUGAUGAAACGUCGUUCCAUUGUUUUCUCGCACUCUGUGCAAUGCCUUCAUUGCCACAGGAAGAAUUAGGAAUAUUAUGUUAACGAUUGCACGUCGCACCCUUGAAUCAAGUGUUCUCCCGAGUUGAAAUGUCUCGCAAUUUGAGUUUACUCUAGACAUAAAAUCAAAUCUUCAGCCUCCAAUUUCAUGCCCAUCUUGAUGUCCACAGAUCCCACAACGCCAUCAACUGGUGACUGUACAACGGUCUCCAUUUUCAUGGCGCUAAGAAUAACGAGUGGCUGGCCCUUGGUGAUGCGGUCACCCUUCUUCACACGAAUGUCGAUGAUUUCACCUGGCAUAGGUGCGCCCACCUGUUUCGGGUCGCUCUUUACUGCCUUGGGAUGAAUGUGCAUUUCCUUACGCGCUUCAUUAUCCUUGAUGAAGACGGAACGCAGAGUACCGUUGAGCUCGAAGAACACUUCACGCUCUCCGUUUUCUGUGAGGUCUUCAGCGACGGCUAGUGUCUUGAUGCCAAGGGUCUUACCACGUUCAAUGGAUACUUCGAAUUCCUCGCCCACUUUGGGACCUGUGAGGAACAUGCGUGUGUCGAGGUGUGUUACUGGACCAUAUUCGGACACGAAGGAGAGGAAGUCCUUGGUGACCUUGGGGUACAACGCAGCAGACAUGAUAUCCUUAUCUGUCACGGGGAAGUCAGCCGGAACGCUAGCCUAGAGAAACAACACAAAAGAUAAAAUUUCAUCAC